CUCUGGACCGAUGACUCCACUUUGUCCUCUUCAUUUUGUGCUUAUAAAGGAACACCCAUCACAAAAAGCACACCAGCGGCAUCACCUUUGUAAUUGAACUUACCUAGUAUCUCCUUAGAUUUAUAGCUACAUUCAUGGUGUUGCAUCCUUUAUUUACUGACACAGUAAAUAAGAACUUGGAGGUUUGACCCAUGCAAGAGAGAACACACAAAUCGCUUUUAAAUAUGGCAAAAUGGUCUUUUGUAAAUAUUCCGUAAUGGUAGCUUUGAAUGCACCCCACUUGCUGGAGUUAUUUAGGGCAUAAGCUAUAGGGUGGCUUUCACAAGUCAAUUUAACCCUCCUUCCUGUCUCUUUUCUGUUGUUCUGUUUAUAACCAUAAUUCAUGUUUAUGUUGAUAUUCAAGUGUUACAAAAUCAUAGCAAUUAAGAGAACAAAAUUAAAUCAGAGUAUUUAAUGUGAAGCAGAAAAAUAAUAAGAAUAAGAAUAAUCUUCAUGGUUCCUGCUCAUGUCACUUUAAAGCUAGUUUACAAUCAGUCCUCCUGUGAGAAGUGCCUUAUUGUUGAUUUAAAUGGAGGCCCAGUGAGUAAAUAUAGAGACAAGUUCUUGGGGCUUGUGAGCAAAUGACUUCUUAGCUUCUCUGUAGGUUAUUAAAAAGACUUAAAAGUUUUGCGUUGCUACUGCAGCUCGGUAAUUUUAGACUCUGGGCUUAAUGGUCUUUUGGGUGGGUGGCUUUUUAGAAGGCAAUUAGUGUUACUUUGUGUAUUUCAAAAUGCAUUUAGGGUGUGCGGAUCAGCAAAACUCGAACUCAUGUAAGUUCUCCAAGCUCCAUCUCCAAGUUCUUUCUAACUCCAGUCCUUAUCAGAUCAUGGGCUCGCUCACUCGCUUGCUUGCUUGCUUGCUUGCUUGCUUGCUUGCUUGCUUGCUUGCUUUCUUUCUUUCUUUCUUUCUUUCUUUCUUUCUUUCUUGGCAUGAAAAUAUUUUUGUAUUUUUUCCAGAUGUACACAUCAGUGGUGCACACCUUUGGCAUGUACACAUUGACGAGAGUGUAUUUCUUCACCCUUUUCCAAAAGAGCAAAGCCCCAGCAACCAGACAUCAAUAGCCAUGAUGCAGGAGCCCCAGGAAAUGGUGGAGGAGACGGUCACCGUAGAGGAAGACCCAGGCACCCCGACCUCCCAUGUUUCCAUCGUGACUUCAGAAGACGGGACCACAAGGAGGACAGAGACCAAGGUUACAAAAAUGGUCAAAACAGUCACAACCAGAACCGUGCGGCAGGUUCCCCUUGGCCCCGACGGCCUCCCUGUGAUGGAUGGCUCCUCUCCCAUGGGCAGUUACACUGACUCCAUAGACAGAAGACACAUGAAGAACGGGGAACGGUACAUCACGCCACAAGCUUCCUCCACCUUGACCCGGUCGUACAACAGCUACAAUGACACCUACCCUGACGGCCACGAAGGCCAGUAUCGCCCUUUCGUGGGCCACGAUGGCUACGGAGACCUCCAGGAGAACUAUGGGAGCUUGUCCCGCGGGGUGAAUUAUCGUCCGCGCUAUGCCUACGUCCCUGGGAACAGCUACCGGCCAGAGGAUGGCAGCUUCACUUUGCCGAGCAGAAGGGACAACUUCGGCCCCCUGCCCCAGCCCCAGGUGCCCACCGGAAGCAACGCAGACCUGAACCGCUCCCAGCCGGAACGGUUCCAGCCGGAGCCUUACGGGCUCGAGGAUGAUAACCGCAGCCUGGGGGUCGAUGACGAAGGGUAUGAGCUGGAUCCGGAGUACUCGGUGGUGAACCGGAGAACAUCGGCCGGAAUGCCGGAGAGAGGGAGACCUCACAAGGGAAGCAGAGGCUACGAUGAUCCGAUCGAGUCUGAGAUUGCGGAUGAGAGGAUCCCGUACCUGCACGGCAGCUACGCCGCCCCCUUGGCCCAGCCGGAAAGGGGAAGCAUGGCCAGCAUCGACCGCCUGGGCAAGCGCUCCCCUUCCAUCGACAGCAUCCGUAAAGACCCCCGGUGGAGGGACCCUGACCUUCCGGAAGUCAUCGCCAUGCUCAGCCACCCCAUCGACCCGGUCAAGUCCAACGCAGCAGCGUACCUCCAGCACCUCUGCUACGAGAACGAUAAAAUUAAGAAGGACGUGCGGCACCUCAAAGGGAUUCCCAUUCUGGUGGGCUUGCUGGAUCACCCGAAGCCGGAGGUGCACCGCAAAGCUUGUGGGGCGCUCCGGAAUAUAUCCUAUGGAAAGGACAAUGAGAACAAAGUGGCGAUAAAAAACUGCGAUGGGAUUCCAGCUUUGAUCCGGUUAUUACGGAAGACGAAUGACAUGGAAGUGCGAGAACUCAUCACAGGUACCCUUUGGAACCUGUCAUCCUACGAGCCCCUCAAAAUGGUGAUCAUUAAUCAUGGUCUUCAGACACUGACCAACGAGGUGAUUAUUCCCCAUUCCGGCUGGGAGAAUGAGCCAAACGAAGACUCAAAGCCUCGAGAUGCUGAGUGGACAACUGUCUUCAAGAACACAUCGGGAUGUCUGAGGAAUGUCAGUUCAGAUGGAGCCGAAGCCCGCAGGAGGCUCCGUGAGUGUGAUGGCUUGGUGGAUGCUCUCCUUCACGCACUGCAGUCUGCGGUGGGCAAGAAAGACACCGACAACAAGUCCGUGGAGAAUUGCGUCUGCAUCAUGAGGAACCUCUCGUACCACGUCCACAAAGAAGUCCCAGGAGCUGACAAGUUCCAGGAACUCGAAGCCAACCAGCCUGGAGGGCUGGGAGGGAUGCAGAAGAAGAAGAAAGACGACGCGGGCUGUUUUGGUGGGAAGAAGGCCAAAGAAGAGUGGUUCAAUCAAGGGAAGAAGAAUGGAGAUGUGGACAGAAACUUUGAUACACUGGAUUUGCCUAAGCGGUCUGAAUCAGCAAAAGGCUUUCAAUUGCUUUACCAGCCAGAGGUGGUGCGGCUUUAUCUCUCCAUCCUCACAGAAAGUCAGAACUUCAACACUUUGGAAGCGGCAGCUGGCGCUUUGCAGAACCUCAGUGCUGGAAACUGGACAUGGUCCACGUACAUCCGGGCAACCGUGCGAAAGGAGAGGGGGCUGCCAGUCCUUGUAGAGCUCCUCCAGUCGGAUUCCGACAAGGUGGUGAGGGCCGUGUCCAUCGCUCUGAGGAAUCUUUCCAUGGACCGUCGCAACAAGGACCUCAUUGGUAGUUAUGCCAUGGGUGAACUGGUAAGAAAUUUGCCAAGCCGGCAGCAGAGGUCCUCAAAAAACCUGGAGGAGGACACUGUAGUCGCUGUGCUGAACACCAUCCAUGAAAUCAUUACCGACAGCUCCGAAAAUGCCCGGUCCCUGAUCCAAACUCAGGGCAUCCAGAAGCUGGUUGCCAUCAGCAAGUCGAGUCAGUCCUCCAGGGAAACAAAGGCAGCUUCUCACGUUCUUCAGAUGACUUGGAGUUACAAAGAACUACGGAGUGUUUUGCAGAAGGACGGAUGGAACAAAUCUCAUUUCCAGUCUGCGUCUUCUACUCCUAAGGGAUCCAAAGGUACUUCUUGCAAAUCUGGCUACGAUGACAGCACUCUGCCUCUGGUGGAUAAAAGCCAAGAAAAUGAGAAGACUGGAAGCCGGGAUAUGAUUCCCAUGGAUGAACUUGGGCCAGAUGGCUACUCCACCAUCGAUCACCGGGACAAGGAGCGGAAAUACAAGGCCAAUGACAACAUGGGGGAUGCGUCAGAGAAGGAACCGCUAAAGAGCGACAUGAGUAGGAAAACCCUUAACAGGAGUAACAGGGCUUCGGUGACUCUGCUGGAUGCCUGUGACCCUAAACCCCAGCCUGUUGACUCCUGGGUCUAAUUUGCAUGCAUGUUCUUGGGCAGACAGAAGCAAAUGUGGAAAGACGUGGCUCUUGUUUUGCUACCAAGGAGGCAGCCCAUGAGCCGUGGAGGAAAAACGAGGGUUAACGGGGUGCAGAAAGACACUUGCUUUUAGGUGCACUGAAACUGCUUCGAAGAAAGAGAAGAUGCUAUGAGGUUGCAGUCAGUGUUGUGAAGCAGGUUGAGGGCCAGGAUCAGAGCUAACAACGAGGUCGCUGCUUGAAGAGGGAAAAUACGUGGGUAAGUAAAAGAAAAUUAUGAGGGUAAAUAAAUACGAGCUCCUUGUUUUAUUUUCACAAGCACGAAAUGCAAGAGUAAAGAGGACAGCAUUGCUUUGUGAGAAGGGAAAACUUAUUCUGGUGAUGGGAAAUUAACCAUAUGGCCGUUGCUUUGUGGGAGAAAGUAGGAACCAAAAUAUCCAGGUAAAUAUGAGGUUGUUGCUCUAUGAGGGAAAACGCAAGAAGAAAUACCAGGUGUCCCCAAAAAUUUGACAUUAUUUGAAAGGCGAAUCUCUUAGGAACUACAUGUCCUAGGCAAACGAAAUUAAAUAGGCUUCAUGUUGAACAAUAAAAGAUUUAUUUAUCAGAGUUCGAACAAGAGAUUCAGAGGGAUGUAGGUUUUAUAACCGAUUUCACAAAGCUUCACAAAUGUUCAAUAUGCGCACCGCCUGUGACACGACACACGUCAAGUCGGUAAUCCACCUCCUGCCAAACACGCUGUAGCUUGUCUUGCAUACCAUUGCGUAACUAACAUUAGUUUUUACACAUUUUUGGUAAAAUUUGAGGUCAUUUGAACGAGAAUUGGCUAUGUUAUUAGACUACGAAAUGUCCAUUUUUGGGGGAUACCCUGUAUUUGGGGGUAAAACUGAGGCCACUGCCUUAUCAGGAAAAGGAUCACUCCUGUUGAUGGGGGACCCCAAUACUUCCACGGGGUCCCCCACAGUUGUAAAAGCUGCCCCCCGGCCCCCUUCACUGCAUUAAUCACCUUUGGCUCUUCUUUUUUCAGGGCUAAGGUCCAGCCGCUUGUUUUAUUAUGACGAUGACGAUUAUUUUUUCCUCAACUAAAA
This is an RNA transcript of Varanus komodoensis (Komodo dragon), 4912 nucleotides long. It is a transcript of the gene named ARVCF delta catenin family member, with no coding region annotated. The transcript has 19 exons. Lineage: Eukaryota; Metazoa; Chordata; Lepidosauria; Squamata; Varanidae. The record is from RefSeq and is a predicted model, not a curated record.